CAAUAGCGUAUAUUAAAGUUGUUGCAGUUAAAAAGCUCGUAGUUGGAUUUGUGCUCUGCCGCGAUGUCCUUGUUGGUACGUUCGCGGGAGAGCAUCCUUGGGUGGAACCUGCGUGGCAUUAGGUUGUCGGGUAGGGGAGACUCAUCGUUUACUGUGAAAAAAUUAGAGUGUUCAAAGCAGGCUUAAGCCGUUGAAUAUAUUAGCAUGGAAUAAUGAGAUAGGACCUUGGUACUAUUUUGUUGGUUUGCGCACCGAGGUAAUGAUUAACAGGGACAGUUGGGGGUAUUCGUAUUCCAUUGUCAGAGGUGAAAUUCUUGGAUUUUUGGAAGACGAACUACUGCGAAAGCAUUUACCAAGGAUGUUUNCAUUAA
Molecule: ribosomal RNA, 371 nt
Filed under: uncultured eukaryote
Lineage: Eukaryota
Description: partial 18S ribosomal RNA
Rfam family: Eukaryotic small subunit ribosomal RNA
Source: RNAcentral